This 233-nucleotide long non-coding RNA is filed under the name Helianthus annuus (common sunflower). Its description in RNAcentral is "hypothetical non coding rna". The stretch from base 153 to 233 matches the Rfam family "Small nucleolar RNA SNORD34". Lineage: Eukaryota; Viridiplantae; Streptophyta; Magnoliopsida; Asterales; Asteraceae. The record is from RNAcentral.
UGGCCUAUGAUGAUUAAUAGUUUUGCCUACAUUGGCUGAUUGUUUACAAUGAAGAGAAACCUACAGAUUUCUGAGGCCAAUUCAGCAUUUAGUUAAACUAGAUAUCAGAUGCGUUUGAUUUGUAAAUUGUGUUUUCUAUUUUUUAUUAUUGGUGUGGCCGUUGAUGAAUAAAGUUUUGCCUACAUUGUCCGAUUGUUAUUUGUGACGAGAAGACUGAAGUUUCUGAGGCCUUU